CAUAUGGUGAUAAUGGUCCC
RNAcentral lists this non-coding RNA (20 nucleotides) under Rattus norvegicus (Norway rat). Lineage: Eukaryota; Metazoa; Chordata; Mammalia; Rodentia; Muridae. The record is from RNAcentral.